AAAGCUGUGGAGAACAAAGAAGCAAGAAAGAAAAGAGUCAUUGGAAUGAUGCUAAUCCAGUGAAAUACAUCAAUCAGAGUUCAGUGUCUGAAUUGGGAGAGGUUACGUUCUUCCGAAAUGUGGCAUCGUGUUUGGUUCAGGCUGGGAGAUGGAAGCCAGGAGGAGGAUGGGGACCGCGGAGGUGGUGUUUGAAAAACUAGUCCGGCAAACUGGUGUAACUUUGCUUGGAGAAAAACUGAACACGAGGAGAAAAUAUCCGUGUUUGACUGUGUAACGAGCCGUCGUGCCUCAGAAAGUAGAGAUGUAAUCUCACGUCAAAGUAUCUGGAAAAUUACACACUAAGGGAUUAAUGACAGAUAUCUCCAGUAAAACAGCAUUGAUAACAACUCCACUGGGUCAUUCUGCGAUUCAUCAUAUAAAACAGAAAGUUGCUGUGGACAAGAAGGCUGCUGGAACUGGCAAUGUCACCAAGUCUAUUCAGAAAGUGAAGAAGGCGAAGAUCUGAGGAGGCGUUGAGAAGCUACCGCAAUCCCCAUUGCAAGCUGGGGCUCGUACACAUGGAACACCACAGCUGAAGGGAACAUGAGUUUUAUUCCUGUGGCAUGCAGCUGCUCACUUCUCAGGACCGAAUGCUCUCUGUCAGCUCUUACUGUAGGGAACUUGCUGUCUAUCUGGAGAUACAGACAACUGAAUGAAAACGCACUCUGACAGUGUUUUACUGUGUAACUGGAACACACUAGAGGAAAAUAUAGCACAUAUUCUAUGGUACAUAUGGUAUGUGCUUGCAGAGAGGAUUGGAGGAGACAUGAGGACCAGCUGUCUGCAGAAAUGGAUAGCUAAGGAGAAAUCAGGAGAGCAUGCCAGAUUUAUCCAAGUAAGAGGGAGAAGAAGAGUGUUCCAAGUAGAGACAGCAGCAAGUCAAGGAAAGAGCCUCAAGUGAGCAAGUGACGCACAUUUGGGCUGUGCAGUUGGCACAGCUGAAGCAGACACUGCAAGCUGGGAAGAAAGGAGUUGACUGUUCCAGAGGUAGGCAGGGACCAUCUAGCAGGGAUCAGAAAACUACGGCCCCCGGGCCGAAUCCAGCCAUAUCCAGUCACAUCUAUUCAUGGAUGUAUACCUGUUUUUACACUACAACGGUAGAAUUGCAUACUAACAACAUAGAUCCUGGUCCACAAAGCCAAACAUAUUCACUAUCUGGCCCUUACAGAAACAGUCUGUCAUUGCGAAGAAACUCGGAUUUUAUGAGGGGAUUGGGAUUUCAGCAGGGGAGAGGCACGACAAAUUUGCAUUUCAGACCUGCCUUUGUGGUGGUUGCCAUGGAGAGUGUGGACUGAGACAGGGACGGACUAGGGUUGGAAGACCAACAGUGUCUUACUUCUCUGAGGUCUACAGACCCCGUGCCAAGAGGACUAUGUCCCAGUUUUAUGUCACUUGCUGCACCAAAACAUCAUACACGGCUCAUCAAUGUUACCAAGUGAAUGAAUAUAUGAAUGAAUGGGCAAGAAAAGAUGAGAGAAACCCGUAUUUUGGCACUGAAAACAGUAGUAAACAUUAUGAUGAUAAUUGUAACAAUAAAACAAUUAUAUUUGGUU
Felis catus (domestic cat) is the source of this 1592-nucleotide long non-coding RNA. RefSeq lists it as uncharacterized. The transcript is spliced from 4 exons. The record is from RefSeq and is a predicted model, not a curated record. NCBI's taxonomy places the organism in Eukaryota, Metazoa, Chordata, Mammalia, Carnivora, Felidae.